UGAGGAAUCUUGCGCAAUGGACGAAAGUCUGACGCAGCCACGCCGCGUGCAGGACGAAGGCCCUACGGGUCGUAAACUGCUUUUGUCAGGGAAGAAACCGCGGGGUUCGCCCCGCGCUGACGGUACCUGUCGAAUAAGCACCGGCUAACUCCGUGCCAGCAGCCGCGGUAAUACGGAGGGUGCAAGCGUUGUCCGGAAUCAUUGGGUGUAAAGGGUGCGCAGGCGGGCUGCUAAGUCUGGGGUGAAAGGCCACGGCUCAACCGUGGAAGGUCCCUGGAUACUGGCGGUCUUGAAUGUGGGACAGGCCGGUGGAAUUCGAGGUGUAGCGGUGAAAUGCAUAGAUAUCUCGAAGAACACCAGUGGUGAAGACGGCCGGCUGGACCACGAUUGACGCUCAGGCACGAGAGCGUGGGGAGCGAACAG
RNAcentral lists this ribosomal RNA (423 nucleotides) under uncultured organism. RNAcentral's name for it is "bacterial SSU rRNA". It matches the Rfam family "Bacterial small subunit ribosomal RNA", at positions 355 to 775 of the family's 1533-position model. The record is from RNAcentral.